This 2688-nucleotide long non-coding RNA is filed under the name Homo sapiens (human). Its description in RNAcentral is "HSALNT0393427". Lineage: Eukaryota; Metazoa; Chordata; Mammalia; Primates; Hominidae. The record is from RNAcentral.
AGAUGCAGCCCAGAGAGAUGAGCAUGUAACACACAGCAAGAAUGCAGCCACCAGGCAAGCCAAGGAGAGAGCCUUCAGAAGAAACCAACCCUGCCGACACCUUGACCUCAGACUUCCAGCCUCUAAAACGGUGAGAAAAUAAAUCUCUGUUGUUUAAGCUGCCCAGUCUGUGGCCUUAGUUAUAGCAGUCCUAGAAAAUUGAUAUACUCUGUAUCUUAAAACAAAACAACGCAGGCUUUUACAAAAAAAUUGGCUCCAAGUAGACUCUAAGUAGCUUAUAUUUUCUCAAAUUUCUGUGGCAAGAACAGUAAGGACCUUGCUAUUUGGAGGGGGAUGGUGCAGCGGAGGACGAGAGGAAUAUUCCUUGAGAACCCAGGCAAAUUGGUAUCUCAGUAAAUUGUCCUUCCAUGGGCUGGUUUCUGUUUGCCCACUGCUCCUGCCUGGUUUUCUUCUUGUGACAGAACAGAUCUCCUUGCCUUAUCGACCUAGUACCUACUUAUCUACCUCCACCCCAUCCUCUUGAAGCACUUAUUUGCCUGGUGCAAAAUUCCAGAUAUGUAACUCUCCUUUAACUGAUUCAUAUUGGCGGGAUUAGAAGAUUUGAGGGCAAUGACACACUAGAGCCAAAAAGGACUUCUGACCACACUUGUGUCCCAGGAGGUGAGGGGGGUUUUAAAGGAUUUGUCCUGAACAUGAUUUGUCAAAGAUUGUUUUAUAGAAACAUCCUCAAUAUUUAUUGAGGCUCUGGCCGAUCUGUGACCCAAGUGAGUCAAUUGAUUGUUGAGCCCAGUUUCCACAUUCAUAUUAAAAGUCAUUUGAUUGUUGAGCCCAGUUUCCACAUUCAUAUUAAAAGUCAAUUGGAAAAGACAGGAUUUCCAAGCAGUUUAUAACCUGCUUUAUUUCCCUUCCUUUCUACCACCCCGUGAUUUUGGUAACUUUAUUACUCUGAUUGGAAAAAAUUGUUGUCUAAUGAUAUUAAAAUGUGCAGCUACUGAUAAACUGUGACCAGUUCUUGGCUUUUUGCAAGAGCUGGGAAUAUCAGGUGUCAUUAAAUAUUUUAUCUCCCUUCCUUCAUGCUAUGACUUUAAUACUGUGUUCAAAGAUCAUUACUCAGUAAUGCUGGCAAGGCUCCCCUCCUUUGAAGACAUUCUUUACAAGAGCAUGUAAUAUUCAUUAUUACUCUCAGUUGCCUGCUUUUUUCCAUGAUAUGUCCUCUCCCCCCCAAAAAAGGUUUCACUGAGGGUGAAUUAUUCUAGGUAGGACUUAAGCACUAUAGGAAGCUACGAGUAAAACAAUCUAGAGUUUGCACAAUUUUCCAUGAACAUUGGCAGGGUGUAUUUUAGAGCAAAAUGUGUUUUUAUGGCACUGCAGGUCCUGAUUCAUGUGAAGUCUUCUUCAAUCUGGGGGCUGGUGCUCCAAGGUUAUACACAACUUUCAAAGAGUGGGUUUUUAGGGCGGCUAGACCUUUAUCUAUACGAUGGGAGAGUUAGCAAGCAUGCUACAGAAAGGGGACCAAAAAGCAUGUAAUAAAACUGUAAGACACAAGGAGUAAGAAGGAAAAACGUUUGCAGCUCUAUGAGUCACUGGAUGGUGUCUCCAAGUUUUCCUCCCUAGUGAUUAUUUUUAACAAUGAGAACCAUCCAUGUCUUACUUGAGAGGGCUUAGGCGUUCCCUUGAUAAAGGUUAGGAAGAUGAAAAAAAUGAAUUCAGAUGCUGUUGAGGUCCCUCCUUAGGAGGCACCACCAGAGAGAUUACUCUCAGGUCUUGACAUCCAACCAGGCUGCUCUUGAACAGUUUACUUUCAGUCUCACAACGGAUGGUCUUUCUGUCAUCUCUUUGGCCAUUAGGCAGCUUAAAUGAACUCUCCAGGGUCACUUCUUGUACCUGGACAGGGCCCCAUGUUAUGUUUGUCUGCAUUCUGAUCUUACCUCUGGUUUUUACUAACUUUCUAUUCUCAUUUGUCUUUGCCCUGAUUCCUUCAACUAUUUUAUUCUUUUGUGAUGUAUAUACUUUUGUAAGUUGGCUGAAAUCCUUUGUGGAUUGAGGUGAGGGUAAAUAUAGGCAAAGGAGGAAAAUGAAUUAUGGAGUUUCCAUUGCACCUGACACUUCUGUGUAAUAGGAUAUUGGGAGAUUAGGCACGAUGAGGGAUGUCUCUUUCCAAAGUAUUUUGUGUUUUGUUCUUAUAGGCACUUGUAGGUAUUUUUGGACCUUAAAAUUGGAACACAUGUUCUUAGAUAGGGUCUACCAUAAUAGCAACAGGAUAGAAUAUUUGGAACAGUUCUGCUAAAUAGAGGAUGAAUAAUCUAUUCAUUAUUAUGAAUAGAUUAAAUAAUACAUAAAGAGCAAAGGAGAAUUCAGGGAAGUAAGAGAAACAAUAUACAUUUCUACAAUUUAAAAGGGUUUAAGUUUUAUUUUACAAGCUGCAGAUAAAGUAAUUAUAAAAUUCAUAACACUAAAUUGCUACCCAUAUAUUUUUUUAACCAAGGCUGAAACAUGUCUUUUGGAUUGGAGGAAUUUAUUUAUUUUAAAAAAACGAUCAUAGUUUGUCCGGGUGAGGUGGCUCAUGCCUGUAAUCCCAGCACUUUGGGAGGCUGAAGCAGGCGGAUCACCUGAGGUCAGGAGUUCAAGACCAGCCUGGCCAACAUGAUGAAACUCCGUCUCUACUAAAAAUACAAAAAUUAGCUGGAU